AGGCCUUGCGCUCUUUGAGCGGCCGAUAUCAGAUUAGCUAGUUGGUGGGGUAAAAGCUCACCAAGGCGACGAUCUGUAGCGGGUCUGAGAGGAUGAUCCGCCACACUGGAACUGAGACACGGUCCAGACUCCUACGGGAGGCAGCAGUGGGGAAUUUUGGACAAUGGGGGCAACCCUGAUCCAGCCAUGCCGCGUGAGUGAAGAAGGCCUUCGGGUUGUAAAGCUCUUUCAGCCGGGAAGAAAACGCAUAGGCUAAUACCCUGUGUGAAUGACGGUACCGGAAUAAGAAGCACCGGCUAACUACGUGCCAGCAGCCGCGGUAAUACGUAGGGUGCGAGCGUUAACCGGAAUUACUGGGCGUAAAGCGUGCGCAGGCGGUUUUGUAAGACAGGCGUGAAAUCCCCGGGCUUAACCUGGGAACUGCGUUUGUGACUGCAAGGCUAGAGUACGGCAGAGGGGGGUGGAAUUCCACGUGUAGCAGUGAAAUGCGUAGAGAUGUGGAGGAACACCAAUGGCGAAGGCAGCCCCCUGGGUCGAUACUGACGCUCAUGCACGAAAGCGUGGGUAGCAAACAGGAUUAGAUACCCUGGUAGUCCACGCCCUAAACGAUGUCAACUAGGUGUUGGGAGGGUAAAACCUUUUAGUACCGGAGCUAACGCGUGAAGUUGACCGCCUGGGGAGUAUGGCCGCAAGGUUAAAACUCAAAGGAAUUGACGGGGACCCGCACAAGCGGUGGAUGAUGUGGAUUAAUUCGAUGCAACGCGAAAAACCUUACCUACCCUUGACAUGUCAGGAACUUUCCAGAGAUGGAUUGGUGCUCGAAAGAGAACCUGAACACAGGUGCUGCAUGGCUGUCGUCAGCUCGUGUCGUGAGAUGUUGGGUUAAGUCCCGCAACGAGCGCAACCCUUGUCGUUAAUUGCCAUCAUUAAGUUGGGCACUUUAGCGAGACUGCCGGUGACAAACCGGAGGAAGGUGGGGAUGACGUCAAGUCCUCAUGGCCCUUAUGGGUAGGGCUUCGCACGUCAUACAAUGGUCGGUACAAAGGGUUGCCAACCCGCGAGGGGGAGCUAAUCCCAUAAAGCCGAUCGUAGUCCGGAUUGCAGGCUGCAACUCGCCUGCAUGAAGUCGGAAUCGCUAGUAAUCGUGGAUCAGCAUGUCACGGUGAAUACGUUGCCGGGUCUUGUACACACCGCCCGUCACACCAUGGGAGCGGGUUCCGCCAGAAGUAGGUAACCUAACCGCAAGGGGGGCGCUUACCACGGCGGGGUUCGUGACUGGGGUGAAGUCGUAACAAGGUA
RNAcentral lists this ribosomal RNA (1299 nucleotides) under metagenome. Its description in RNAcentral is "bacterial SSU rRNA". It matches the Rfam family "Bacterial small subunit ribosomal RNA", at positions 208 to 1498 of the family's 1533-position model. The record is from RNAcentral.